This is a long non-coding RNA of Drosophila yakuba, 1013 nucleotides long. RefSeq lists it as uncharacterized. Lineage: Eukaryota; Metazoa; Arthropoda; Insecta; Diptera; Drosophilidae. The record is from RefSeq and is a predicted model, not a curated record. The transcript is spliced from 3 exons.
CGAUCGAGUUGUAUGCCAUGGCGAGCUCCAUCGGAUCCUCUAUCUUCUUCCUGGAAGAUAGGGCAUCGAGGGCGCUCACAUAUCUACUCUGCUUCAUGUCCAGUUGCGCCGCGGAUGCGCUUGCCAGUUCUUUGGCCGUCCCGGGUGCAUCGCAUGGUGAACCCUGUGUUCCCAUGGGCCACCCGGAGACCAGCCAUUCCCCCGCGCACAUUCGCGCCGCAACCAGCAGAAGACUCUCCUACCGACUCAUCCCAUUGCGAGUCCUCCGUUCGCCACCAGGCACCGAACGGGUCGCAAAACUAGCUGGCGGUAUCCGCCGCUAGCGACAUACCCUUCGCUUGGAGGAUCUCUACACUUUAGCAUCCCAGGUCUUUCCGCGGCGAGCAAUUAUGUUCGGCUUUUUGGAUAGCCGACAUAAGCCAUCGCACGCGUUCCAACCUGGUCUGCCGGCACCACGUGGAUUCCAUUCCCCCACUGGAUUUUUAUUUUUAUCUACUUUUCCGCGUAUGGGCUCGAAUGUCCUUAUUAGACGACCUUCGCCACUCCAUUCCUGGUUUAAGCAUUGGGCGCCAUUAUGUUACGGCCUGCUGAUUUUGAUGGGGCAAGGCCGGCUAGCCAGUCAUCAACAGGGCGGAUUCUUCCCCUGUGCCCACAGGUCGCACCAUAAAUUCCACUCGGCAUGGAAUCCACAAAAACAACAAAGAAACAUCAACAGAAACUACAAGUAAAGGACUAAUACCGGACGACACGACGCAGAUUUGGGUCUUCGAUGGAAAGGACCCUGACGCACCCAUCCCUACCAAGGAUCCGUCUAUUUCCCAUUUGAGGAUCUCCCUGGCAUGUGGUUCAUCGGCUUCCUCCAGGCUUCCAUCGCCCUGGGCCAAAGCAAAUACGAUACAAAAAAAAAAAAAAAAGGACGACGAAAGAGCGGGAGAGGACAACAAAGACGCGAAACUACUGCACGGGCAUUGACAUAUAAAUAUAUAUAAAUUAAUAAAAUUAAUAAACCCUCA